Long non-coding RNA from Nematostella vectensis (starlet sea anemone), 2481 nucleotides. RefSeq lists it as uncharacterized. The transcript has 2 exons. The record is from RefSeq and is a predicted model, not a curated record. NCBI's taxonomy places the organism in Eukaryota, Metazoa, Cnidaria, Anthozoa, Actiniaria, Edwardsiidae.
CAUGAGGGUUCAAUCUUUGGCUUUCUUAUGAUUUAACAAAAUAAAGCCUUAUCUAUACUUAAAUAUUUAUUGCUACUGUAAUAUUCGUUGUUGACUCUUUUAUUGCCUGAGGCGACCGAGCGGAGACAGCAUCUCUAAUCAAUGAAAUGCAGGCUUCGAAGGACAAACUAGGUGCGCAAAAGUUUCUGGUCACACUUUGAAGUGUGACAAGCCUGCUUUGCGCGGUUGCAAUCAUAAGUGCGCAUGCGCCAGCUCGCAUGAGAAACAAGAUCAAGAUGGCGGUCAUUAAUCAACGGCAAUAUUGGCAGUUUUAUUGGAAGGGAAAGCAUCUUCAACUAUAACGAAGCUUCUUAAGGCAUUAAAGAUGUGACACCCUUAAUGGGGAGUUUUCAAUUAAAAGAACAAGAGGAGCUAUUAAAGAAAUGAACUGCUUAUGGAAAUGUUGGGAACAGAGUAUACAUUAAAAAAGACAGGCCAGGGAUCGGACUGGAUGAUCCCAGCUGUUUAUGAUGCAUUUGAAGCAUAUCGAACCACUGAUACACAACAUGGUCAUCACAAAGUGAAAAUUCUGUUUUGUGACAAACUGAACACGAACAACUGAACAUUGUUGUUUUUGGUAAAUUUGAUACCCUCCAACAUUGUGCAUACAAAGACACAAAUUCCAAAUCAAAUGGAGAUGGCUAAUUGAGCAUGCAGUAUCUGAUGAUGUUGCCCAGCAUUGCAUAGAAAAAGCCACAAAUACUACAUGGAUAGCUAACAGUACCAGAACUGUAACAAAUUCUACAUGGAUAGCUAACAGUACCAGAACUGUAACAAAUACUACAUGGAUAGCUAACAGUACCAGAACUGUAACAAAUACUACAUGGAUAGCUAACAGUACCAGAACUGUAAUAGCACUGUUUUAUUUUGAUGCUGCCAGACUUCAGUACAGUUAAUACUUCUGUUGCAUACAAUAAGCCACAAAUACUACAUGAUCUAACAGUACCAGAACUGUAAUAGCACUGUUUUAUUUUGAUGCUGCCAGACUUCAGUACAGUUAAUACUUCUGUUGCAUACAAUAAGCCACAAAUACUACAUGAUCUAACAGUAUCAGAACUGUAAUAGCACUGUUUUAUUUUGAUGCUGCCAGACUUCAGUACAGUUAAUACUUCUGUUGCAUACAAUAAGCCACAAAUACUACAUGAUCUAACAGUAGCAGAACUGUAAUAGCACUGUUUUAUUUUGAUGCUGCCAGACUUCAGUACAGUUAAUACUUCUGUUGCAUACAAUAAGCCACAAAUACUACAUGAUCUAACAGUAGCAGAACUGUAAUAGCACUGUUUUAUUUUGAUGCUGCCAGACUUCAGUACAGUUAAUACUUCUGUUUCAAGAUAGAUUAUAUCAACUGCAACUGCAUUCAACAAAAUUGAAGAAAAGCAAAGCCCUUUUCACAAAAUCUUAAGUAAAGAGUAAUUAAAUAGUAAAAAGAUAAAAUAAAAUAAAAUUGCUAUAUGAUAAAACUACAGUAUAAUUACUCUUUAUUCGUAAAUAAGUUCACGUAUCUCACACUAUGCAGUGCAGCUGCCUAGUUUUUGUUGUUAUUGUUUAUUUUUUCCGGUGCUUCAUGUAGUGAAAAUCAUUCUCCUGAUGACCAGUUUCUAACGCUCGAUUCUUGAGUGACAUUAAUGAAACUUGGAAGAGAAGGGAACCUUGCUGAAAAUAUAUUUGAUACACACAUGCACGUUUGAUGGAACAAUAACUGACAAACAUUUUUUUUUCCAAGGAAGAAUUAAUCCCUCUAUGUAGCUAUUGCUCGAUAUCAAACCGUUUCUAUUUUCAACUUUUAUGGGUUAACAAGAAAAUUAUUGAAUAGAAUUACAAGACACAAGGAGAAUACAUAAAGUUUAACUUGAAAAUAGAGAAGUGACCAUAAAAAUUCAGCUUGAAAUCGGGUCUACUCAUCACUGACCUGUAGUGACAAAUAUUACAACGAUAGCACUCGUACGUAUAUGUAUGUACAUAUUUUAAAUUAGCAAGGUUGCAGGUGAAUCCAUUUUUCAUUAUCCAUAAAGGUUAAUGGGUAUCAAAUGAAUGACCAAAUUCCGAAAGCCAUGUGAGUGUUCUGAAACACUUAUAACAAGAAUUUACUGUUUUCAAAGCCUGGAUUUUGUAUUUUGAAUUUGAUGUUAUAGUAUCUCGGAAAAACAAUGAAAGGAUUUUUAUUCAAUGAUUCAACGACUUGCCAGUUUUGCAAAAGAAAGAAACACAUGUGAGGCAUAGAGAAUACAACUCAUUCCAUUACAAAUGGGAAGACAGGAAUUCCAAUUUUUCUAUGUGAAGCCAUGCACACAACUUCAAGGAACACUUCAGGAUGUCAGUGAAAUCAACAUAAAAUUUACACUUUAGUUUUAGAGGCCGUUAAAAGGGGGGCAUGGUGUGAUGAACGUGGAGGAGGAGGCUGAAAAACUUUUCUUGGUGAAAAAAGUGGGCCUUGAAUUAAAA